Molecule: ribosomal RNA, 459 nt
Filed under: uncultured bacterium
Lineage: Bacteria
Description: partial 16S ribosomal RNA
Rfam family: Bacterial small subunit ribosomal RNA
Source: RNAcentral
CCUACGGGAGGCAGCAGUGAGGAAUAUUGGUCAAUGGCCGGAAGGCUGAACCAGCCAAGCCGCGUGAAGGACGAAGGUACCAAGCAUUGUAAACUUCUUUUGUCAAGGGACAAAAUCAGGCUCGAGAGCCUGACCGAGGGUACUUGAAGAAAAAGCAUCGGCUAACUCCGUGCCAGCAGCCGCGGUAAUACGGGGGAUGCGAGCGUUAUCCGGAUUGAUUGGGGUUAAAGGGUGCGUAGGCGGACUGUUAAGUCAGCGGGAAAAGCCCGGGGCUCAACCCCGGCGAGCCGUUGAUACUGGCUGGCUUGAGAUGUCGAGAGGUAUGUGGAAUGCGCAGUGUAGCGGUGAAAUGCUUAGAGAUUGCUCAGAACUCCGAUUGCGAAGGCAGCAUACCGGCGGCGAUCUGACGCUGAGGUACGAAAGCGUGGGUAUCGAACAGGAUUAGAUACCCCUGUAGUC